UGGCUGUCGUCAGCUCGUGUCGUGAGAUGUUGGGUUAAGUCCCGCAACGAGCGCAACCCUCGCCCUUAGUUGCCAGCAUUCAGUUGGGCACUCUAAGGGGACUGCCGGUGAUAAGCGAGAGGAAGGUGGGGAUGACGUCAAGUCCUCAUGGCCCUUACGGGCUGGGCUACACACGUGCUACAAUGGUGGUGACAGUGGGCAGCGAGACCGCGAGGUCGAGCUAAUCUCCAAAAGCCAUCUCAGUUCGGAUUGCACUCUGCAACUCGAGUGCAUGAAGUUGGAAUCGCUAGUAAUCGCAGAUCAGCAUGCUGCGGUGAAUACGUUCCCGGGCCUU
RNAcentral lists this ribosomal RNA (334 nucleotides) under uncultured Phyllobacteriaceae bacterium. RNAcentral's name for it is "bacterial SSU rRNA". It matches the Rfam family "Bacterial small subunit ribosomal RNA", at positions 1046 to 1382 of the family's 1533-position model. Lineage: Bacteria; Pseudomonadati; Pseudomonadota; Alphaproteobacteria; Hyphomicrobiales; Phyllobacteriaceae. The record is from RNAcentral.